ACUCCCUUUGAGGGCCAUUUUCUCUCAGACCACCACAGGCAGUAAGUGCUUUAUCAACUGAGCCCUCACCUCAUCCCUUAAUUGCUUCUAAAUCAUUUUUAAAGAAGGCACAAGAGAAUCAGGCAGAUUUCCUGAGUCUUCAAAGCCCUUGGCAACCUUCCAAAUGUACUUUAAAGCAUCCUCACCUUCUGAAAAUGUAUGAUGUCAUCUGCUUCAUCAAUGGCCUGACUAGAUCAAGAUCAGGAUGUCCCUAUGUGCUGGGAGUGGAGGGCAGAGGCCUCUUCUAAAGAGGACCACUGGCAGACCGGUUGGGAGUUGGGAAGGCAAGAGUAGGUGAAAAGAAGGAAAUUAUGAAGAACUCACUGAUCAAGAAUUCAGCAGCAGAGACUGAAGACCAUGGGGGAUGGACAUAAUGGUCUAGAGCUCAGAGUGAGCGUGGCGGUGUGAAGGAGAAUGGCCCCAAUCAAGACGUGAACUCUCCCCGCUUCUUGCCAAGGUGUCUUCACUCCCCCAUCAUGGACCUUAACACUGAAGCCAUCAGACAAAUUAAACGCCUGCUUUUUGA
Long non-coding RNA from Mesocricetus auratus (golden hamster), 565 nucleotides. RefSeq lists it as uncharacterized. The transcript has 3 exons. The record is from RefSeq and is a predicted model, not a curated record. NCBI's taxonomy places the organism in Eukaryota, Metazoa, Chordata, Mammalia, Rodentia, Cricetidae.